RNAcentral lists this unclassified non-coding RNA (1239 nucleotides) under Hevea brasiliensis (rubber tree). Lineage: Eukaryota; Viridiplantae; Streptophyta; Magnoliopsida; Malpighiales; Euphorbiaceae. The record is from RNAcentral.
AAUGCUCAGAAGGGGUGGCCUUACAUUCAACGACUAUUGGUGGAUCUCUUCCAGUUCAUGGAGCCCUUUCUGAGGAACGCUGAGCUAGGAGAACCGGUCCAGUUUCUGUAUAAAGGGACUCUCAGGGUUUUGUUGGUCCUCCUCCAUGAUUUUCCGGAGUUCCUCUGUGACUACCAUUUCAGCUUCUGUGAUGUUAUCCCUCCAAGCUGCAUACAGAUGCGAAAUAUAAUUUUAAGUGCAUUUCCUCGCAACAUGAGGCUUCCUGAUCCAUCAACUCCCAACUUAAAGAUUGAUCUACUAGCAGAGAUUAGUCAAUCCCCUCGCAUUCUUUCUGAAGUUGAUGCAGCUCUUAAAUCAAAGCAGAUGAAGGGUGAUGUAGAUGAAUACCUGAAGACAAGGCAACAGGGGUCCCCAUUUUUGAGUGAAUUAAAACAGAAGUUACUGCUUUCUCCAAGUGAAGCUGCCAAGGCUGGGACGCGCUACAAUGUACCCCUGAUCAACUCCCUUGUACUCUAUGUUGGAAUGCAGGCUAUCCAGCAGCUGCAGGCAAAAACUCCUCAUGCUCAGUCGAUGCCCAGUAGUGUUCCAUUUGCAGUAUUCUUGGUUGGUGCUGCUCUAGAUGUAUUCCAGACUUUGAUAAUGGACUUGGACACCGAGGGGCGUUACUUGUUUUUAAAUGCAGUCGCUAACCAAUUGCGAUACCCAAAUAAUCACACACAUUACUUCUCCUUUAUUCUGCUCUACCUAUUUGCGGAAUCAAACCAGGAGAUGAUCCAAGAACAGAUAACCAGGGUCCUAUUAGAACGCCUGAUUGUAAAUCGACCUCAUCCAUGGGGUCUUCUGAUCACAUUCAUUGAACUGAUAAAGAAUCCAAGGUACAAUUUUUGGAGUCGACCAUUUACAAGAUGUGCCCCAGAGAUCGAAAAGCUGUUUGAAUCAGUCUCAAGAUCUUGUGGUGGCCCUAAACCUGUGGAUGAGAACGUGGUGUCAGGUGGAAUACCUGAUAUCCAUUAGAUAAAUUUUGUUGCCUGGUAAUACUUCUAGAUUUUUGUAGUUUGCUGAAUCUCUUUUUUCUGACCUGUUCAUUGGUUGGCAUAAAUAAUUUGAGUGCUGUUGUACUGACAUAAUGUGAUGCUAUUGUUGGUGUCGAUGAAUAUGAUUCUGCCUUUUCAUUUAGCUAUAUGCUUUUGAGAAGGUUUUACUGGUUGGUUAUUCUCUGUUUUGUUAACUGGAGCAUGG